GAUGUCAUCAAGUUAAGAUGAGGUCAUUAAGGGAGGUUCUAAUCCCAUAUGACUGAUGUCCUUAUAAGAAGAGGCCACGUGAAGAUGGAGGCAGAGAGUGAAGCGAUGCAGCCACAAGUCAAGGACGCCAUCAGCUACUGGACAACAGAGAGGCAAGGGCGAUCCUCCUCUACGGCUUGGGAGGAGCACGGCCCUGCUGACACCUUGAUUUUGGACCCUUGGCCACCAGAACUGUGGGAGAAUAAAUACCUGCUGUUUUAAGCACCCCGUUUGUGGCACUUUGUUACGGCAGCCCAAGGAAAUGAAUACAACAGCAGAGUAAGGAAAUGAACGCAACAGCAGAGCGAGGAAAUGCGUGAACCCGGGCCCCGUGAUGGAGCGCAGCAGAGCGGAGCUGCACACGCACCUGGACCGCUCACCUGAGGACAGUUACCUGAGAGGGAGGCAGACCUUUACAUCCUUUAAACUGCUACGCUUUUUGAAGCUGCCCUUUCUCUUUCCUCCUUCCUUGUCGGCUCGUUCCAUCUGUCUUAAGAAGGGACCUUUCUCCUCUCUUGGAGCAUCCCUUGUGUACCUCCCCGGCUUUGUGACUGACUGCUUUCGAGUGUUGCUUUCGAGGGAGAACUGUAGAAGUUGUGAGAGACGUCUGUGACAAAGUUGGCAUCCAGUAACGCCAACCGGAUUACCGGUUUGGGGGGCAGGUUUUGGAGAAAACAGCAUGAAUCAACCUCAAUUAUUUACUUACAGAAAAGUUGAAGGACAGUGCAGAGAGUUCUCGGAUGCCCCAGCCCAGCUUCCGCAGGUGUCAACAUCUUACA
RNAcentral lists this long non-coding RNA (818 nucleotides) under Equus caballus (horse). RNAcentral's name for it is "lncRNA (ENSECAG00000044895.1)". The record is from RNAcentral. Lineage: Eukaryota; Metazoa; Chordata; Mammalia; Perissodactyla; Equidae.